Molecule: ribosomal RNA, 497 nt
Filed under: uncultured bacterium
Lineage: Bacteria
Description: partial 16S ribosomal RNA
Rfam family: Bacterial small subunit ribosomal RNA
Source: RNAcentral
GAUGAACGCUGGCGGCGUGCCUAAUACAUGCAAGUCGAGCGAACAGACGAGGAGCUUGCUCCUCUGACGUUAGCGGCGGACGGGUGAGUAACACGUGGAUAACCUACCUAUAAGACUGGGAUAACUUCGGGAAACCGGAGCUAAUACCGGAUAAUAUAUUGAACCGCAUGGUUCAAUAGUGAAAGACGGUUUUGCUGUCACUUAUAGAUGGAUCCGCGCCGCAUUAGCUAGUUGGUAAGGUAACGGCUUACCAAGGCAACGAUGCGUAGCCGAACUGAGAGGGUGAUCGGCCACACUGGAACUGAGCCACGGUCCAGACUCCUACGGGAGGCAGCAGUAGGGAAUCUUACGCAAUGGGCGAAAGCCUGACGGAGCAACGCCGCGUGAGUGAUGAAGGUCUUCGGAUCGUAAAACUCUGUUAUUAGGGAAGAACAACUGUGUAAGUAACUAUGCACGUCUUGACGGUACCUAAUCAGAAAGCAACGGCUAACUACGUG